AAUAGAUACCCGGGUAGUCCACGCCGUAAACGAUGAGUGCUAAGUGUUAGAGGGCUUCCACCCUUUAGUGCUGCAGCUAACGCAUUAAGCACUCCGCCUGGGGAGUACGGCCGCAAGGCUGAAACUCAAAGGAAUUGACGGGGGCCCGCACAAGCGGUGGAGCAUGUGGUUUAAUUCGAAGCAACGCGAAGAACCUUACCAGGUCUUGACAUCCUUCGCUACCUCUAGAGAUAGAGGGUUCCCCUUCGGGGGACGGAGUGACAGGUGGUGCAUGGUUGUCGUCAGCUCGUGUCGUGAGAUGUUGGGUUAAGUCCCGCAACGAGCGCAACCCUUGACCUUAGUUGCCAGCAUUCAGUUGGGCACUCUAAGGUGACUGCCGGUGACAAACCGGAGGAAGGUGGGGAUGACGUCAAAUCAUCAUGCCCCUUAUGACCUGGGCUACACACGUGCUACAAUGGAUGGUACAAAGGGUCGCGAAACCGCGAGGUGGAGCCAAUCCCAAAAAACCAUUCUCAGUUCGGAUUGCAGG
RNAcentral lists this ribosomal RNA (529 nucleotides) under uncultured bacterium. RNAcentral describes it as "bacterial SSU rRNA". It matches the Rfam family "Bacterial small subunit ribosomal RNA", at positions 777 to 1304 of the family's 1533-position model. The record is from RNAcentral.